Molecule: ribosomal RNA, 465 nt
Filed under: uncultured bacterium
Lineage: Bacteria
Description: SSU rRNA
Rfam family: Bacterial small subunit ribosomal RNA
Source: RNAcentral
AGAACGAACGCUGGCGGCAUGCCUAACACAUGCAAGUCGAACGCUCCUUGGAUUUCGGUCCGGGGGGAGUGGCGCACGGGUGAGUAGCGCGUGGGAACCUGCCCUGUUGUGGGGGAUAACCGAGGGAAACUUCGGCUAAUACCGCAUGCGCCCGGGGAAACCUGGGGAAAGAUUUAUCGCAGCAGGAGGGGCCCGCGUCGGAUUAGCUAGUUGGUGGGGUAACGGCCCACCAAGGCUGUGAUCCGUAGCUGGUCUGAGAGGAUGAUCAGCCACACUGGGACUGAGACACGGCCCAGACUCCUACGGGAGGCAGCAGUGGGAAUAUUGGACAAUGGGCGCAAGCCUGAUCCAGCAAUGCCGCGUGAGUGAUGAAGGCCUUAGGGUUGUAAACCUCUUUCAGCAGGGACGAAGCGAGAGUGACGGUACCUGCAGAAGAGCGCCGGCCAACUACGUGCCAGCAGCCGC